GGGGGAGCACCCCCUCCCCCCAG
Molecule: transfer RNA, 23 nt
Filed under: Cyrtodactylus linnwayensis
Lineage: Eukaryota; Metazoa; Chordata; Lepidosauria; Squamata; Gekkonidae
Description: partial tRNA-Tyr
Source: RNAcentral